RNAcentral lists this ribosomal RNA (484 nucleotides) under uncultured bacterium. RNAcentral describes it as "partial 16S ribosomal RNA". It matches the Rfam family "Bacterial small subunit ribosomal RNA", at positions 28 to 507 of the family's 1533-position model. The record is from RNAcentral.
AUUGAACGCUGGCGGCAUGCUUUACACAUGCAAGUCGAACGGCAGCGCGGGCUUCGGCCUGGCGGCGAGUGGCGAACGGGUGAGUAAUGCAUCGGAACGUGCCCAGUAGUGGGGGAUAGCCCGGCGAAAGCCGGAUUAAUACCGCAUACGACCUGAGGGUGAAAGCGGGGGACCGAAAGGCCUCGCGCUAUUGGAGCGGCCGAUGUCGGAUUAGCUAGUUGGUGGGGUAAAGGCUUACCAAGGCGACGAUCCGUAGCUGGUCUGAGAGGACGGCCAGCCACACUGGGACUGAGACACGGCCCAGACUCCUACGGGAGGCAGCAGUGGGGAAUUUGGGACAAUGGGGGCAACCCUGAUCCAGCCAUGCCGCGUGCGGGAAGAAGGCCUUCGGGUUGUAAACCGCUUUUGUUCGGGAAGAAAUCCUCUGGGCUAAUACCCCGGGGGGAUGACGGUACCGGAAGAAUAAGCACCGGCUAACUACGUG